CUACGUAGGGGGGCAAGCGUUGUCCGGAAUCAUUGGGCGUAAAGAGCGCGUAGGCGGCCCUGUAAGUCCGCUGUGAAAGUCAAGGGCUCAACCCUUGGAUGCCGGUGGAUACUGCAGGGCUAGAGUCCGGAAGAGGCGAGUGGAAUUCCUGGUGUAGCGGUGAAAUGCGCAGAUAUCAGGAGGAACACCGAUGGCGAAGGCAGCUCGCUGGGACGGUACUGACGCUGAGGCGCGAAAGCGUGGGGAGCAAACAGG
This 255-nucleotide ribosomal RNA is filed under the name uncultured bacterium. RNAcentral's name for it is "partial 16S ribosomal RNA". It matches the Rfam family "Bacterial small subunit ribosomal RNA", at positions 523 to 776 of the family's 1533-position model. The record is from RNAcentral.